Molecule: long non-coding RNA, 974 nt
Organism: Myotis brandtii (Brandt's bat)
Lineage: Eukaryota; Metazoa; Chordata; Mammalia; Chiroptera; Vespertilionidae
Exons: 3
Source: RefSeq, a predicted model, not a curated record
AGGACUCUGGUCGGAGGUAAUUAUGUCACUGCGCUUUCUCGCCGUGACAGCCGAAUAAACACAAUCUCCAAUAAACAUCUCUAAUGAGGGAGGAGGCCCGAGGAUGGCUGGCUUUGAUUUAUGGCUAGAGGAGAAGGUCCACUUCCCACAGCGAAGUGGGCAACCUGCUCGCUCCUCAGUCCAGAGAAAGGAACUCGAGGAGGAGAGGACCCAGAUUCAGGACUUCAUCACAUGUUCACAGCAAGCUACAAGUAGAAUGGGAAAUGUAUCAAUCCAAAUGCAACGAAAGGAAAAGAUAAUAUACUGUGGUGAGCAACCGGCAGUAUCCACAACAAUGCAUAAUGCAGACAAGAGACUGUUAUAAUAAUCCAGGUCUCAUCCAGGUAAUGCCACAAGAAUUGUCCUAUUCAUAUCUAUUCAGUACACUACUCUAGCGAUGGAGCCCAGAAGAUGCCUUACAUUCAUUGACCAAAAAACAAAAUGUCCAAAAAACAUGGCUUUCCAAUGGGCACAGAGUGAUAGGAAGUUUGGCAUUUGGGAGAGCUACGUUUGCCCAGGGCCACCAAUGAGGUCCAUGGUCCUGGAACAUCUUUUAUACUCAGAUCAGCCAAUAACAAACACAGUCAUGUCCACCAAUUUCAUCAAUGUGUCCCUCCCCUCCCCCAACUUCUCCUGCUCUGGCCUGGUUUGUUUACCUUUCUGAUUCUUUUGGACAAGGACAAGAUCAAACUCUGGGUACCUUCAGUGCCUAGUCUACUGGUUUAAUCAAGAGGAGUGAGUAUUCUGGCAACUGGAAUCUCAAUAUUCUGCUCAAGAACCUCCAUUUUUACCCCUGGAAAACACAAGUAUCUAAAAAACAUCAUCUUGAGAAGUAUUUAUUUAAGGAUUUGCCUUGAAUCUUUCUCUAAUAAAGCUAAUUAUGAAAUGAUACUCCCAGCAACAGCUAUUGCUACUUAGCCCUGUGGAGGUAAUAG